GACGAACGCUGGCGGCGUGCCUAAUACAUGCAAGUCGAACGCUUCUUUCCUCCCGAGUGCUUGCACUCAAUUGGAAAGAGGAGUGGCGGACGGGUGAGUAACACGUGGGUAACCUACCCAUCAGAGGGGGAUAACACUUGGAAACAGGUGCUAAUACCGCAUAACAGUUUAUGCCGCAUGGCAUAAGAGUGAAAGGCGCUUUCGGGUGUCGCUGAUGGAUGGACCCGCGGUGCAUUAGCUAGUUGGUGAGGUAACGGCUCACCAAGGCCACGAUGCAUAGCCGACCUGAGAGGGGGAUCGGCCACACUGGGACUGAGACACGGCCCAGACUCCUACGGGAGGCAGCAGUAGGGAAUCUUCGGCAAUGGACGAAAGUCUGACCGAGCAACGCCGCGUGAGUGAAGAAGGUUUUCGGAUCGUAAAACUCUGUUGUUAGAGAAGAACAAGGACGUUAGUAACUGAACGUCCCCUGACGGUAUCUAACCAGAAAGCCACGGCUAACUACGU
Molecule: ribosomal RNA, 507 nt
Filed under: uncultured bacterium
Lineage: Bacteria
Description: partial 16S ribosomal RNA
Rfam family: Bacterial small subunit ribosomal RNA
Source: RNAcentral